UCACGAAAUGGUUUGAGCUAAUUGUAUAUAGCUUAUAGGUUAUACCCAGUAUGUGGCAUAAUACUGGAAAAAGGUAUAAUUAGGUGUGAUAGGCUUCUCAAAAACCAGGAUAUCUUGAUAGCGCUUAAACGUAUUUAGUACGCAAGACAAAUAUAAAGUGUUUAGGCUUUAUAUAGCUUCAAAAAUGAUUUCGGAACUUAAAGGUUUAAUCAUCUUUAAAUAGAAGAUCAAAGUAUUAAUUUUCCUUUAUUUGAGGUAAGUACGUGCUUCUAUAAAUAAUUGAGGUACAUAGUAAUAAUGUUACCAUAAGUAUUAAUUAAGGCGUUUAUAAUGAACUCGGCAACUAAUAUUCUCGACUGUUUACCAAAAACAUAGCUAUAUGAGAUUAUAUAUAGUGAUUUCUGCUCAAUGUAUUAUAAAUAGCCGCAGUACUCUGACUGUGCAAAGGUAGCAUAAUCAAUUGACUUAUAAUUGAGGUCUAGUAUGAAAGAAAAUAUGGGGAUAGACUGUAUAAAAAACGUUCUUUUAAAAUUACUUAAUAAGUGAAAAGGCUUAUCUUUAAAUAAUAGACGAGAAGACCCUAGAAAUUUUGAGAAUAGAUAGUAUAUAGGUUUUUGUUGGGGCGACAUAGUAGCAUUAUAACCUACUAAGGUGAAUAUGAUUAUUAUAUUAGGAAUAAUUAAAUUACUCUAGGGAUAACAGCAUAAUAUUCAAAAGUUUGUGACCUCGAUGUUGGACUAGGAUACUACCGCCUAGAAGGUUGCUAGUAAGGCUCUGUUCGAGCAUUUGUUCCUACAUGAUCUGAGUUCACACCGGCGUAAGCCAGGUCAGUUUCU
This 836-nucleotide ribosomal RNA is filed under the name Karaftohelix gainesi. RNAcentral's name for it is "partial 16S ribosomal RNA". The stretch from base 351 to 502 matches the Rfam family "Archaeal large subunit ribosomal RNA", at positions 1886 to 2087 of the family's 2987-position model. Lineage: Eukaryota; Metazoa; Mollusca; Gastropoda; Stylommatophora; Camaenidae. The record is from RNAcentral.